This 253-nucleotide ribosomal RNA is filed under the name uncultured bacterium. RNAcentral describes it as "partial 16S ribosomal RNA". It matches the Rfam family "Bacterial small subunit ribosomal RNA", at positions 524 to 776 of the family's 1533-position model. The record is from RNAcentral.
UACAGGGGGUGCAAGCGUUGCUCGGAAUUAUUGGGCGUAAAGCGCGCGUAGGCGGCUACUUAAGUCGGAUGUGAAAGCCCUUGGCUCAACUGAGGAAGUGCACCCGAAACUGAGUGGCUAGAGUACGAAAGAGGGUCGCGGAAUUCCCGGUGUAGAGGUGAAAUUCGUAGAUAUCGGGAGGAACACCGGUGGCGAAGGCGGCGACCUGGGUCGAUACUGACGCUGAGGCGCGAAAGCGUGGGGAGCAAACAGG